This is an RNA transcript of Mirounga angustirostris (Northern elephant seal), 13114 nucleotides long. It is a transcript of the gene named F-box and WD repeat domain containing 4, with no coding region annotated. The record is from RefSeq and is a predicted model, not a curated record. NCBI's taxonomy places the organism in Eukaryota, Metazoa, Chordata, Mammalia, Carnivora, Phocidae. The transcript is spliced from 10 exons.
CGAUGGGGGAGGGGGUCUGCUCCCUGGCCUGGCCCGCACCCCGCAGCGGCUCCAGGGCCGCGGGUGUGAGGGGCGGGCCCAGGUCUUGGCCCGCGCCGCCCCAUGUGACCCGGUCCGACAUGGUGUCGCCUCCUCCCGCGGCGGCGGUGGCGGCGGCUCGGCUGUGUUUCGGGCCGGGCCUGCGGCCGCUCAUGGGCAGCCAGGGCCACCCGGGGCCGCCCGGGAACAGCGGGCCGGGCGAGGGCGAGGGCGGGGAGGCGAGGAAACUGCAGGGAGGGAGGGUCGCGAGGGGGAAGCGAAGAAAGGGGAAGGGGAAGGGAAAAGCGGGAGCAGGACAGGGCGGAAGAGGAAGCGGGGCGGAAGGGAAGCCGGGGCUGCAGAAAGCGAAGGAGGCAGCGGCGCUGGGGGCCGAGGCGGGAGCCAGGGCAGGCCCAGGGGAGGAAGGAGAGGGAGGCGGAAGCGUGGAGGAAGGGGCGAGAAGGAUCGUGCUGGGCGAUGAGGGGAGCGCAGGGGCGGGGAAGGAGGCCAGAGGAAGAGGUGCUGGGAAAAAGGAGGAAUGGAGGGUCAGGCCUGGGCGGCGGGAGGACGCGAGGCCGGGGAGAGCGCAGGGACGAGGGGGUCAGGCGUGGGGCUGCAUCGCGGGGGCUGGGGCGGCGGGGGUGGCCAUGGCGGUAGCCGCCGAGGAGGCGGCGGCGGCGGCCCGGGAGCCGGCCGGCCGCCCCGCUGCGGGGCCGGCGCUCUUGCGCCUGCCGGAGGAGCUGCUGCUGCUCAUCUGCUCCUACCUGGACAUGCGGGCCCUCGGCCGCCUGGCGCAGGUGUGCCGCUGGCUGCGGCGCUUCACCAGCUGCGACCUGCUCUGGCGCCGGAUAGCCCGGGCCUCGCUCAACUCCGGCUUCACGCGGCUCGGCACCGACCUGAUGGCCAGUGUCCCGGUGAAGGAACGGGUGAAGGUGUCUCAGAACUGGAGGUUGGGGCGCUGCCGAGAGGGGAUCCUGCUGAAAUGGAGAUGCAGUCAGAUGCCCUGGAUGCAGCUAGAAGGUGAUUCUCUGUACAUAUCCCAGGCUAAUUUCAUCCUGGCCUAUCAGUUCCGCCCAGAUGGUGCCAGCUUGAACCGUCGGCCCCUGGGAGUCUUUGCUGGGCAUGAUGAGGACGUUUGCCACUUUGUGCUGGCCAACUCGCACAUUAUCAGUGCAGGAGGAGAUGGGAAGAUUGGCGUUCAUAAGAUUCAUAGCACCUUCACUGUCAAGUACUCGGCUCAUGAACAGGAGGUGAACUGUGUGGAUUGCAGAGGGGGCAUCAUUGUGAGUGGCUCUAGGGACAGGACGGCCAAGGUUUGGCCUUUGGCGUCAGGUCGGCUGGGGCAGUGCUUACAUACCAUCCAGACUGAAGACCGAGUCUGGUCCAUUGCAAUCAGCCCAGUACUAAGCUCUUUUGUGACAGGGACGGCUUGUUGUGGGCACUUCUCACCCCUGAGAAUCUGGGACCUCAACAGUGGGCAGCUAAUGAUGCACCUGGGCAGUGACUUCCCCCCAGGGGCUGGGGUGUUGGAUGUCAUGUAUGAGUCCCCGUCCACACUCUUGUCCUGUGGCUAUGACACCUACGUUCGCUACUGGGACCUCCGAGCCAGCGUCCGGAAGUGUGUCAUGGAGUGGGAGGAGCCCCACGACAGCACCCUGUACUGCCUGCAGACCGAUGGGAACCACCUGCUGGCUACUGGGUCCUCCUACUACGGGGUCGUGCGGCUGUGGGACCGGCGCCAGAGGGCCUGCCUCCACGCCUUCCCGCUGACCUCGACCCCGCUCAGCAGCCCUGUGUACUGCCUGCGCUUCACCACCAAGCAUCUCUAUGCCGCGCUCUCCUACAACCUCCACGUCCUGGACUUCCAGAACCCGUGACGGGGCCACCCCGGCCUGCGGGCCAGGGAAGCCAGCUACUCAGGGACCUCUCCGCCUGGAGGGUGCAGGGAUGCCUCCGCCCCCGCCGUGCCUGUGCUCCUAGACCUGUCACCACAGUGCUUGGGCACCGUCAGAUCCAGUUCCUCUCUGGCUGGGGAGUCCUGGGAGGCCCUAAGAGGGGACCGACAUCUUCAAACAUGAGGAUGGGCAUGUUGGGGAAAGGGUAAGACCAGCCUCAUGGCUCAGUGUCCCAAAGACCAAACCUCUCAUUACCACUCACCCCUUUGCCCCGGUGGUGGGUGGGUGUCACCUGUGGGGUAGAGGACUGUGGAAGGGCUCUGCGCUGUUGGGGAGCUAAGCUACUCCCCAUCUGCAGUAACCCUUCUUCACACUACUCUAACACACCCACACUCUUUGCAAUGAUACAACCCUCCUUCUGCCUUUACAUCCACAAUGUCUUAAUCUCCUGGGCUGCUUUUAAGGUUUCUGUAUUUCAAAACCUUCUUUACCUUACCUCCCCUUACUGUGGGGAGCUCAUCUGGGCCCUUCUGAAAGCUAAGACCAGGGUCUCUGCCAGCCUAGUGUCCCUCUGAAUUUAUGCAAACAGGAUGGGGAAGAUGCACCCCCCGCUAGCGCUAGGCUCAGGGCUUCCCUUUAUGUGAAAGGCUUGUUGAAGCCUUUGAUGUUGAAGGUCCCUGAGGAGGAGAGAAGGGAAUGUCCUCACCAGCACCCUCCCUGGUGACAGCAUAGAGGGUGGACAAAAGGGCAGCCCCUCAACAGUGACUCAGAAUGACUUUACUUGGGAGAUCAGACCAUGAUAUGGGGGCUAGGAGCACCCCCAAGGCCCAGUUCUCACAGAGCCUGGAUAGCUCAUGGAAGAGAGGACAUACCCCUGCACCAGAAAGGGGGUGGCCCAAGCCACAAAGUCCAGAAGAGCCUCACCCACCCGCCAUGCUGCCGGAAGGGCAGGCUCAGGGAUGCUCUGCUACUGGGUCUUACAGUCCCCGUCACUGCUGUGGGCCGUCUUCACUUUCUUUAGCUCCUUCUGAAGCUCUGACUCAGCCGCCAGGACCUCCUUUGGCUUCUGGUACUGUGGAUGGAACCAGGAAGAGCACAUCAUUCAGCCACAUCUCCCCUCCCUACAUACACACUCCGGGCCUCCUCUGAUCCCAUUAUUUGAAAAUGAGGAAACUGAUGCCUGCAAGGCUGAAUGAUUUGCUCAAGGUCACAUGACUGGAUAGGAGCCUUCCACCAGAAUCCCAGGCCUGUGAUUUCCAUCCCUCCAUGUCACCCUCUGUCUUCUUCCAGCUGUGACUUCUAAGAUCAGCUGAGCCCCCCCACCCUGAAGGAGAGGUGCCUGUUCUCUAGCAAGCACAGGCCAGGUGUUGGGGCUGGAACCGGGGACUCCUAUGGGAUGGGAAAUGGCAGGGAAAGGAGGAGUGUCUCCCUGAUUCAGUGGCCAAGAAGUCUGGGUAAAUCUUACAGAGAUGAUCAGGGUGCAGUUGGCAUGAGCAAAGCUCAGCGAGGACUCAUCCAGAGGUAGCUGGUAUCUGUCUAGGUCAGGAAUGGAGAACUUCUUGUAGUACCUGUGGGAACACCAAGAGGUCAUCGGCACAUCCAGCAAAGUGACCCCCAGCAACUGGGCAGCAGGCCCUCUGGUGCCAACUUUCUACACUGUUCUUCCACACUUUCCACAGAGCCAAAGAGGAAGAAGGGAAGCCAGUUAGAACAUCAGUAUGAAUGAAAGGCGUUUUGGCGAAGCCAGCAGUGGAAGGGCAGGACCCGUCAUGGUUCCUUGAUUAGACCAGGGAUUAGAGUGACUCCUGGCCUCCGCUCUACCCCAAGAACACGGGAACAUGUAUGCUAACAAGGGACAGAAUAAAUCUGGCUAGGGCUGUUCCCCAAAGCUGGGGACCAAGAGUUGCCAUUUACAUGCAACUUUCUCUGAAGGCCCCAGCUACUUUUUCCCUCUCUUGGGGUCUUUCAAGGCCCUGUGGGCCUGACUCCUCUUGUAGGCCAGAGAGAAGUACAUCCACAAAGAGAAAUCUAGGAGGACAAACCACAUGACUCAUCUCAGAAGCUGGAUCUCUGGACUACUUUGCUGGCCCUGAAACGUCCCCCCUCCAUUUUCACACACAAUCCCUAUCAUCUGUAAGGGCCAGUCCAGAGAUUAAUGAUCCUUUUUAGUAAAAACAAACCCAAAAAACCCAGAGAGCAAUACCUAGCCCAGAUGUAUACAACUGGACUUCAUUCUACAGGAAAUCUGACCUUUACCGAAGCGGGAGGUAACGGGUCUCGCCUGGCUUCAUGGCCAGCUGUCCGUGGAGUCGGGACCCAGCUCCUUGCUCCCGGUCAGGUGCUUGUCACCAAGAGCGCCUCCUCUAGCAGCAGGCCUGUGUGGCGUCUAACCUGGUGCAAGUGGAGCCCGGGGCCUCAGCCAGUGGCCAGCAGACCUGCUCCCCAGGCCUGGCAUCCCCCCUGCCGCUGUGGGGCUGUGGGCUGGGAAGGGAAAUGCUGCGGGCAGGUACACACAAAUUCCAGUCAGGGGCCUGGAGCGGACGGGGCUUUGACUACUUCAGAGGGGCCUGGGCCUGGUGGUGACAGCUACUCCGGGUCCACUUCAAAAGCCCCGCUGCCCCAGGGACUCAGAGUUGACAUCAAUGCAGCACUUCUGCCCUGCUCUCCUAUCCAAAUCCCCGGGAGUUCAGCGGAGGCGCUCAGGGCCCCUCUCCUCCCAGGUUCUCCGCUCCCCGCCAAGGUGCUGGGACCCACAGCAGGAGAAGAAUGUUUACUUAAAGGCUGACAGUUCAAAAGGAGUGGGGGCUGGGGGAUCCUAAUGGCACCACAAGCUUGCUUUAUUUCCCAAAGCUCUGCCCCAGGGAAAGGCGAUCCAUCUGCCUGCAAAACCGGGGUGGAAUGCGGCCUCAUCCUCCUCCUAGCUGGCCAGGCUGAGGGCUCUUCCUGGGGCCCUUGGGCUGGCCAGCAAAGGUGGCAGACACUGAUAAUAGGGGGGAGUCAAAGGUUAAACAGCAGAGAUUAGAUGAACACAAAGGCUUGUUAGGAAGUGUUAACAUCUUCCCUGCAAAUAUACACAAGCAGCAGAACUGGGAGAGAAGCAGCCCGGGCACGCGCGCAGCCUAGCCGACGCAGCGGGGCCUGCGUGAGCCUCACCGUGCAGAGCGUGGGGCCAUCGUUUCUGCCUGCCUGGCUUGUGCUCCACGUGGGACAGGGACACGCCUGGGUACCCUCAGAGGGGUGCCGGCUGGGGCACUGGGACUGAAAAGAGAAACCCAGGGGGCUUGGCCUCCGCCCACACCUGUCACUAGGAGGCGAGGGGGAUGGAGGCAGAGUGAGUGUGGAUGCUCUUUGUCUUGAGUCUGUUCUAAUGGAUUUAGUUUACUGGCUGAGGUUACACAACUUUGAUGGGCAGUGUUCAAGGGAGUCUGGGACAUCUGCUUCCCCUCCUCAGGGGUGCAGCCCAGCCCCUUCUCACCUCCGUCCCCUGGCCUUGGGGUUCACCCUGCGAGGAACCACACUUGACUUUCUCACUGGCACCUGGACUAGAGAGGGACACACUGUGCUUCUGGAAAAGAACACUCAGCCUCAGGCAACCCUGAGGGGGCAGCAAACACGUCUUUAGGCAUCAACUGUGUCCUAGGCCUUGAGCUAUGAGCUGGGGAUUUAAAGAUGAAGAAGAAAGAAGGCCCUAUCUCUGCCUGAGGAGAGCUUGUGUUUCUGCUGAAAGCUAGGCCCUCAUAGUGCAGCGGUUCCUGGGCUUUUGGCAGACACGUGACACUCCCCUGUUCCCAUCUCCUACUACUGUUCUCAGCCUCAGUCACACAAUGAAAGGGGAUGUUUGUUAAUGCUUAGUGGGGCCAGGCACUGCUCCACACACAUCGAAUCCUCAAAGCAACCCCCUCAGGCUGGUUGCUUUUAUUAUCCUCUUUCACAAAAGAGAAAACGGAGAUACAGAUAGGUAUCUUGCUGGAGUCACAAAACUGGUCACUGGAGAAGCCCUUAUUACAAGUAGUAAUACCCCAAAUCUCCUGACCCUCCAUCUCUCCACACACACUCCUCCAAGUAACAGACCCCUGGUCUAGGUUCCCUGCUGUCCAAGGACGGAGCAGAUAUGGGGGGAUCUCCCUUAGGAUCCAAUGACCCUGCAGGUCCUCCAGGUACUCUAACACAGUGGCUUUCCUUUCUGAAGGUCAGAAGUUUUCGAAAGACAUGGGGAAGCAAAGGCUCUCAGGACAACUCUGGUCCUGGCCUGUGACCCUGGGCAGGCCACUUCACUUCUGGGCCCCGGUUUCUUCCUCCAGAUGCCUUCCUCCAAUAAAGGAGCUGAAUGAACUUUAGUCACCGAACUAGAUGAACGAGAUGAACUUUAAGUCACUGUCAAAGGGACCAGAAGAGGCCAACUCUGUACCUCCCCCCAAACUGUGCUGAAAGGAUGGCUCCUUCACUUGGGCUACUUCAGAAAUGACCCACAGUCAUACACAGAAAUGACCCCACUGCUCUCUGCUGUAUCCUCUUCCCAAUUUCCAGUUGUUUCCCAACCUAUUCUUUGCAGUGAACUGAGAAAGAACACAAGAGGCCAGGCCUCUGGAGACAGACUCGGAGGAGAGGCUGAAAAGCAGAAGCAGGGCCAUUGUGGAGAGUUACACGGGCCGUGCCCCACACACAGCUCCGGGGCGCCCUGCACACCCGCACACGGGUUUGGCAAGACUGGGCCUGAGGAGCCUCUAGCCAGUCCCGCCCUUAGAAAAGCAGUAGGCAAACCUUCCUUCUUUCUUAAACAUCACAGCUCCAGGCAAGCCGAUCAUCCCUGCCUACAGCAGCCCUUCCUGGACUCACAAUGCACAUUCACCAAAGAGAAACUUGUUUAAUCCAGUUCCCUAAAUUUAUUUGACCACGGAAUCCUUUUUUUCUAGUGAUGCCUAUUAACACCUCCCAGUGUUAAUGUUACCAGUGUCUAAUCAGCCAAGUUCUAAUUUCCAAAGAAUUGCUGAAGACAUGCUUCAGGCCAGCCAUUGUCCCGGACGUUUGUAUACAUAUGAUUUCAUCAAAUUGCCCAAACAGUCUGUGAGGUGGGUAUGAGUAUUCUCCUGUGUGAGGAAGCCUUGCCCAAAAUACUACAGUUAGUACGUGGCAGAGGUCAGAUUUAAGCCAACCCCUUCCCACUCCAGUGCCCUUGUCCAUUCCACUUAAUGGCUGCCAGCUUCUAGUCUGAGGCUAAGAAUCUUCUUUCUGCACACUCUUAUCAGGAACAGGCAGUACCACACUGGGAUCCUGGAAAAGCACUUUCUUCCCUGAUUCAUCCCCUCACUAAUACAUGAGGCCAAGGACAUGAUACAUUGGAAUCAAUCCUUUCCAGAAAAGUGACCAACCCAGUCCUUCAGGGACAAGGCAGGUAUGGACAAGGAACAUUGGCUUUUACUAGUAACCACAUUCCAGAAUAUUAGAACUCAGGCAGGCACAGAACUAGCAGGUAAUGGAAGAAGGCAAAUCAGAGAUGCCAUGGUGUGGAUACUGCAGAUGUCCGGGCAGCUAGACUGUCGCUAACUUUCCCUUUGCAAGUCAGCUCAUCACACUGACUUUACAGACACAUUUAUAUAAUCAUUACGAUAUAACACAAGAAUGAAAAUAUGUACCCUGCCCAACACUGGAUGGUGUGACGAUUUUUUUUUUCAAGAUUUUAUUUGACAGAGAGACCGCGAGAGAGGGAACACAAGCAGGGGGAGUGGGAGAGGGAGAAGCAGGCUUCCCGCUGAGCAGGGAGCCUGAUGCGGGGCUCGAUCCCAGGACCCUGGGAUCAUGACCUGAGCCGAAGGCAGACGCUAAUGACUGAGCCACCCAGGCGCCCCAGAAAACAGAUUUUUAACGUACCCUGAAAAAAAAACAGUAUCCUGCUCAAAAGAAUAACCACUGAGUUGUUUAAUUAGUGGUAGUAAAGGUAUAAGACACAUUACUGCCCCUGGUAGGAGAUGAAAAUGCCACUAGGCUCAAGAAAGAGCCGGUUAAAGGUUUAGUGGCCUUUUUCUCCUACCCCUGGGCAGAGGGACCCGAGGAAGGCUGGGCUGAGCCAGGCAGGGCCACUGGACCAGAGGCUCAGUGCGGGCUCCGAAGCGGGCACUCACAUACUCCUCUCCCCUCUGUGGGGAUCCAGCCCCGGCCCUGUCCCGUCUAGGGGCAUUACUUCCAUCCCACCUGGCCUCACCCAUCAGUUCAAAAAUGUCUCCAGCUGCCUCGAGCGCAGGAGUGGGCUUCUAGCCAUGUUGCUCCUGGCCAACAGCGCCGCCUACAGCUGGGUAUGUGCAGCAGAUGGGACCCAGAGGAUCUGCCCGCAGAUGAAUUUUUUGGUGAGCUAGCUGGCCUCUCUCCUCUCACUCCCCAGUAAUCACAUUUCUGCCUGAUAUCUGUAUUCGACAGUGACCUCUGGGGGACAAAAGGGAGGCAGCAGCCAGCUCUACAAACUGCUAGGCUGCAGAUUCAAGUGCUAUCAGAAGCACUUUUGUUCCCAGUUUGGACCCAGGGCCUCUUACGCCAGGGAAUGCUUGCUGAAGCACAGAAUUUGUUUUCCUAAAGGCAAUUUCUCUGUUGUCUGAAAUUGCUAAAUUCCACUUUAGGCGCUGACUCCCAUUAAUGAUGAGAACAAUAACAGGAAUAAACUGCCUUUUAUCUGAGGGCUUCAAAGUGCUUUAUAAACGCAAACCCUUAUUAUUAUGACUUUAUAGACAAGGCCCACUGCAGGGGCUGCUGGCUACAUGAAGAGCAAUAAUCUUGAAAUUAAUUCAUUCAUCUCCACCCCUUCCCCAUCCCCUUAACCCUGCCGAAGUGAGAGAGUAUGGGGGUCAUAAGCAGAGGGCAGAACCCAAGGCUGCGCCGGGGGAGCCUGGGAGCUGUGCAGCUUUCCUGUGGGCCUCGCGGACCUGAGGGAGCUGGGAGGGGAGGCGGCACCACACCCCCCAAGGAGCCGGACAAGGAGCUGGGUCCUCCUGACUGCAUGAAACGGAUGGAUGGCGGCACCUCUGGCCCAAGCUCAGCACCCACAAGGCAUGUUGGGUGGCUCCAGUGUGUGGACCAGUCACUCAUAAAACCUUCCAUCUUAAUACCUCAACUGUAUUUCAUGGGAGUUGGUCCUAUACUGCAAUUCCUCUGGCCCAGGUCAAGACCAGCUCAUUAACACGGUUCUCCUGUGAUCAGUCAGAGCUCUGGAAAUCUAAAUGCAUUUCCAAGAUGGUCAGCCCAGAAACAGCCCUGCCUGGACCACAUCUCCUCCUUGGCCACCUUCUGUUCCCUCUCCCCUUGCCUGCCCCCAGCAGAACAGUAGGAGAGAAAUAAAGGGAAGUUAGGUGCCCCUUCUGAAACAGAACGCAAGAGACUUCCAGGAGGCCAAAGUACCUGCCUAUUGCCCGUCAGCCCCGGGCGGGAUAAGGUUGGCUAACCCCAGACCAGUACUUUAAGUCCUCUAACUGCCACCUCAGCUGGGUGUGCCCUCUAGGCCACGGCUCCCUGACAGCCCCGACAGUGAUGUCACCAGGCCAAGUUCACCAUGGACUGGAUCCAGCCAGGGGGUCAAGGUAAUAAUCAAGGAACCACCUACGAUCACAAGUUAAUGGCCAGGUGAUUCCUCGUCCCCUCAUUCAACAAAUAUUUGUUGAACCCCAGUAUGUGCCAGUUACCGGACCAGACAUUCCUUGUUCCAAUUUCCCGCCCUGAGGGAGCUGAUUACAUUAUUCAAGCUGGUCCUGCGGAGAGGAAGCCCUCCCACAGGCCGGCAGGUGCCCAUCAUGCCACUUACUUUUUGUUGGUUGUUCGGACAACGAUGCAGCGCUCCUUCUGGUCCACACAGACACUGUAGACAUCCUUAGGGUAGGGGAGGUUUCGAAUCCGCCACUGGAAGCUCAUCUUGGUGUCCUUGCGCAUGAAGAUGGGCUGCAGAAGGCAAAUCCAACUUAGGACCACUCUUGGUGAGGGCCAGCAAGGGAUGGCUUCCUGCUCUGCAAAGCUCUACCCGGGGCCCACAACAGGAGACCCUCAGCUCUUCCCACAGCUCCCCCCUGACAAUGCUGUUGCUGUGACAUUCCAGGCCUGGAGCCCUUGUCCUGGGAUGACCAAGCCAAGCAUUCAUUCAUUCAUUCAUUCAUUCAUUCAAGGAUGACCAUACCCAAGUAUAGGUAUUCAUUCAGGCAAACACUUCCAGAACUCUGUGCCCAGGUGGGCAUGGGAGACAAGGUGGUGAAUAAGACAUGGUGUCUGCCCUCCAGGCCCACUCCCACCACCCCCUCCUCGACACCUAACAGAUAGACAUACAUUGGCAUUGUCUUCCUUGAUGAAUUCAGACCCCAGGCUCCCUGCUCCUGGGAGUGCUGGCUCUCCCACCUCAAUCUGCCAUUGGCCCAAGGCUCCCAAGGCACUUUUCACUCGCCACUUUCUCACUGGGGAGAGAAGGAAGCAACGGGAUUACUGGGAAGGAAGGGACUCUGCUCUUCCUGCUGAAUCACAUUAGAUGAUGGGAAGGGGAGAGAAGUGGGCGGGGCAUGGCCUUUACACCAGCUCUGUCCAUGUGAGCAGGACCUCCCAGCUGCCGAAAGCCCAACGCCCAGCAGAGCACUCCGAUACUGGAUAACCUGGAAAGCCCGUAUCACGGGUACCCAAACCAAAGGGAUUGAACAAAGCUCUGAAAGGAAUCGAGUGGAGUUAAGAAUCCUCCAGGUGUGAUUUCAAGCAAGGGAGAGAUGUGCUGGUUAGGAAAAGGGGAGCUACUGGUAACGGGGAACAUUUGGAUCCCAACAGGUAUGAACUGAGAUGCAUUUUUUUCUGUCUACAAAUGUGUAAGGGAAAAAUAAAUUAAGAAGAUGAAAGCUGACAGGCAGAUUUGUCUCAUGAUUUGUAAAGUCCAAAUACAGAAAUUCACUCAUUUCAGGUAUACCUGGCUUAGAACAGCCCCAGAAUUGUAUUUAAACAAAAUGUUAGGCACAUACCAGAUUUUAAAUGCAUUAUUUAUAGAAGAUCUCAUGUGAGUAUUUUUUGUAGAGUAGGAUCAUUCUUUUAAAAUGCAAACAAUUGUCUCUAUUUUACCUUGGUUUACAACCCACAUGUUUACGGAAGUUUUUUUUCCCCCCAAGUAAGGUGCAUUCGGUAUGGCAAUUGUAAGUGAAAAAACCAGUUCAGUGGACAUUAUCUGAGGACCCCUGCCAGGAUUCUGGGAACCCCAGUCAUCCAUGUCCCCCAUCACAGCAGGGGAUCCUUCCCUGCCCCCCACCCCCAGCUGUAACCCCAGGGCUUCUCUCUCUCCCUGCAGCAUCCGCGUCCUCUAGGAGGGCAGCCUAAGUGCCACCAAAGGCCAGCAGCCUUCCUGAAGCCCUUGUAAGCAGCUACAAGGUCAGAAAGUGCCUGGUGCGCCGAGGCUGCUCCCGGCCCCUCCUCUUUCUGGGCUGGGGGGUGAGACCUGGAGCCGGAGUCUCAGGAUGGGUUUCUUCGAGACCUUUGGAGCUGCUGUGCCAAACCCAAACACCCUCCCUGCUCCAAGUAAGGCACGCAAGCUGAACACAAAAGUGUGCUGUAAAAUUAGAAUUUUCCCUUGAAUAUGUGCUUUUAUAAGGUCUGCUGCAUUCUGCAGUGUGAUUUUAUUAUGUCUUAGGGCCAAAAAUUCUCCCUAGAAACACAUUUCCAAGUUUAUAAUGAAAAUUAAUAAGGAAGAGUAAAAACUUGGAAAUAUGCUUUACAGGCAACUUUUUUUUCACAAAUACUUCUACUCUCUUAAGUGAAUGGACUGUGACUGGGAGUAUAUCCAAAUCUAUUCGUGUAAUACCUCGCUUAACUGGAGGCCAGCCUUCUGGCUCUUUCACCACCCUUUUUUAAAAAAAAAAAAAAAACACCUUGGGAUUAAAUUCUUUGCUAGAAUGUAGAAGAAAGUCUCCCUGGGAUGCCUGGGUGGCUCAGUCAGUUAAGCGUCUGCCUUCAGCUCAGGUCAUGAUCCCAGUGUCCUGGGAUCGAGUCCCACAUCGGCCUCCUUGCUCAGCAAGGGGCCUGCUUCUCCCUCUGCCUGCCUCUGUCUCUCUGAUAAAUAAAUUAAAAAAUCUUAAAAAAUAUAUAUAUAUAUUUUUAAAAAGUAUAUUUAAAAAAAAAGUCUCCCUACUCAUUCCAUUAUAAGAUCCAAUAAACGGUUUUGGUGAAGUCCUUGUUAUUUUCCCCAUGUAUAUGGGCAUGAAUGCACACGUGCAAAUACUCACUUUGUCUUGUCUUUCUUGUCCUGUCUUUGUUCCUAACUCAAGGACAGUUCCUGCAGCAACAGAGGGCUGUUUCCACCUGCUGUCACUCUGAUUUGAUUAUAUGUUAAACCCAAACUGGUGUGUGGAGGGUAGCUCCCUGGGACGCUGUCGCAUCCUCGAGGCUGAGCCAGGGCCAGUCCUUGGAAAGGAGCCUCUCAAUGACCCUAAGGGGUCUGAUGGGGAGUAUGUGAAGGAGACAGUGCCUGGGGGCUUCUUCCUGAGUCAGCGGGAAGCAGGCUGAUGUCCUUGACUGCUGAAAGGAAGCCCCAUCUUUCAGGUGGGCUGGAAAGUGGAGGUCCUACAGGCUCUUUCCCCAAAGCUCCAAGCCAUGGCCUGCUUCCAGUGUGGAUAAUUACAUUCCCCUUUCCUAAAUACUCCCUGCAGCUUAAACUGGAUGCAGGAUUCUUCUUUUCUGCCCUAAAACACUGCAACAUUGCUCUGUGGCUAUUAAACAGCUGCCGCAUCCCAUCCCUGAGGAGGCGGAAGGGAAUCGAGUGGGUCAUUUAUAAAGCCGGUGAAGUGCUUGGGGAUGAAAGUGCUCAAUAUCCUCCAAAUGCAGCCUGGGGUGGUUAGGCUGGCGGUCAAAUACCAAAGCAGAUUAAGCCGGUAAUCCAAGGUAAUCCGAAUGUAACAAUGGGGGAUGGCCUGCCCUUCAGCCUCUGCGCCCCCCCCCCCCCCCCCCCCCGACAUGCUGUGUCCUUCUGGGGCUGGUUUGAUGUUCCGAUCAUUGUUAUAGGGCCCUUCAGGUUUUCCCCCUAUGACUACAUACAGCACUCAUUGUGCGGGGUGGGAACGAAUAGCAUUAGACUGUUGAAAAAAAAUAUGACACCACUAUGCUUAUUAACACUGACUGGAAGAACUCCAUGCUACACAGAUGCACCAGUGGCAAAUUACUUUCUGGGUUUCUCUAACAGAAAACCAGUUUAGCCAAUUAUCAAAUUUGUA